CAAGGGGUGAAGCCUGCGGUUCAAUUGGAGUCAACGCCGGAAAUCUUACCGGGGGCGACAGCAGAGUGAAGGUCAAGCUGAAGACUUUACCAGACAAGCUGAGAGGAGGUGCAUGGCCGUCGCCAGCUCGUGCCGUGAGGUGUCCUGUUAAGUCAGGUAACGAGCGAGAUCCCUGCCUCUAGUUGCUACCAUUAUUCUCAGGAGUAGUGGAGCUAAUUAGAGGGACCGCCGUCGCUGAGACGGAGGAAGGUGGGGGCUACGGCAGGUCAGUAUGCCCCGAAACCCUCGGGCCACACGCGGGCUGCAAUGGUAAGGACAAUGAGUUUCGAUUCCGAAAGGAGGAGGCAAUCUCUAAACCUUACCACAGUUAUGAUUGAGGGCUGAAACUCGCCCUCAUGAAUAUGGAAUCCCUAGUAACCGCGUGUCACUAUCGCGCGGUGAAUACGUCCCUGCUCCUUGCACACACCGCCCGUAAUCAC
Molecule: ribosomal RNA, 479 nt
Filed under: uncultured archaeon
Lineage: Archaea
Description: bacterial SSU rRNA
Rfam family: Archaeal small subunit ribosomal RNA
Source: RNAcentral